CUUGGUCAUUUAGAGGAAGUAAAAGUCGUAACAAGGUCUCCGUUGGUGAACCAGCGGAGGGAUCAUUAUCGAGUUAUUCAACUCCCAAACCCUAUGUGAACUUACCACUUGUUGCUUCGGCGCGCGCUUCGGCGCCGCCGAGGACACUUAAACUCUUUGUUUUUAUAAGCAUUUCUGAGUGGCCGAAAGGCAAAAAUACAAAUGAAUCAAAACUUUCAACAACGGAUCUCUUGGUUCUGGCAUCGAUGAAGAACGCAGCGAAAUGCGAUAAGUAAUGUGAAUUGCAGAAUUCAGUGAAUCAUCGAAUCUUUGAACGCACAUUGCGCCCGCCAGCAUUCUGGCGGGCAUGCCUGUUCGAGCGUCAUUUCAACCCUCGAGCCCGACUCUUUUGAGGACGGCUCGGCGUUGGGGGACGGCAGACUCCCCCCGGCAUCUCGCCGGGGACGCCGCCCCCGAAAUCUAGUGGCGGCCCUCCGAGGCGACCUCUGCGUAGUAACUUGUUCUCGCACCGGAAAGCUCAGAGCGGCCACGCCGUAAAACCCCAACUUUUUUCAGGUUGACCUCGAAUCAGGUAGGAC
This 578-nucleotide ribosomal RNA is filed under the name uncultured eukaryote. Its description in RNAcentral is "eukaryotic LSU rRNA". The stretch from base 211 to 364 matches the Rfam family "5.8S ribosomal RNA". The record is from RNAcentral.